Molecule: long non-coding RNA, 4938 nt
Filed under: Homo sapiens (human)
Lineage: Eukaryota; Metazoa; Chordata; Mammalia; Primates; Hominidae
Description: HSALNT0115173
Source: RNAcentral
GACUGAGGAGAAGGAAGAGGCUGCAUCAGCUGCCUGGGUGAGGCUAAGAGAAGGCAGGGAGUUGGAUGUUACCAGGAGCGGAGGUAUUUCCAGUCUUGUGCAUCCAGGUUGGACGAGGAGAGAAGGAGAGGCUGGCAGGAACUCUUUUUCUGGAUCAGGUUGUCUGUAGCCCCAAGACUGAGUGCACACGUUUCCAUCAAGCCAGGCAGAAGGGCCACCAGGUGACCGCAGCAGCCAACCCCAAGGGGUCUCUGGCAGAGCUUUGGGCUUCUCUGCAGAUGUCGAGGUUGGAUUUAUUCUUCCUGCCCUCCUACCGAGCAUGUCUUGGGGAUUAGUGGGAAACUGACUGUAAAGAUCUUUUGCUUCCUUUUUGCAUAUAGCUAUGUAAUCUGACUUCAGGUGAAAAUUUAUGUCUAAGUGGUAAAUGUUUUUGAGAACCCAGUGAGGAUUGUGAAUCCCUUUGCCAGUUUCAUGAUGGAGGGAGUUAACAUGGAUCAUAAAAGGGCUGAAAGAGUGUCUGAGGUUACCUCUACCUUGUAUCACCAUACGAAGUAGCCAACAACUCCAUGAGAUAAGUUUUUCUCCAGCAGCAUCAUUGGAGCUUGCAGCACAAGUUGGAAAAGAUGGGGAAAACCCACUUUUCUCUUAUAUGAAAAUGACUUCUCCCAAUCCUGUUUUGUCUCAGCAUACAAUAUAUAUGGUUGUUAAUUUACUACCCACAGCAUCAUGGACUCAUCCUCUUCCCUGAAUCGCUUGUAAAUAUUUUCUCAAACUGAGUGUAUUUUCCAAUGUUUAUCCAGGUAUCUGCAUAUCCAACUCUUCAUUGUCCCUGGUGCAGGUUAACCAUGCUCUGCAGGGUACCUCUUUAUCCCCUCAGCCUGUCCCAGGCCUCCUGCCAGUGUCCACAGUGCUGUGCGUUGGGUGUCUAAUUCCACCUCCCCCUGAGAGGUCACUGACAUGUGAACACAUGCUCCUAACAAGUUGACCCCAGUCUUGCUGAAAUUGCCUAGACUGUAUUAUUUUCUUCCCCAUACUUGACAUAGAGCAUAAGCUGAGAGGUACAUAAUACAUGCCAUAAUUUAUGACGGUGCUUAGGUAAAGCCAUGCAAACUCGUCUAUCAUUGCCAGGUUCAUUUCCAGUGGUGUUCAUUGAAGGUAAGUUGACUCAUUUAUACAAAACAAUUCCCUCAUUUCCCUUUGAGCAAUUGUCAAGUGUGCUUGACGCAGGCCAAGUGACCUUCAAAUGCGGAGUGGGGUUUGGCCUGGAAUGUCAGUGUGCAUUUGGCAGCAUGAAUUGCUCCAAAGAAUCCUGAUUUCUUAUGCAUGAACUGCUGACCCCAGCACUGGGGCCUGGAGAGCGGGACGGGAAGGAAGGUGAACUCCUGCUGAUUCAGGGGCCCUCCCAGCAGCCUUUCCACGGUGUCAGCAGUAUUCACAUCACUUUCCUCUCCUCCCUCUUCCGCCCCACCGUAAGUCCUGUCCCUGGAAGCACUUUUCAGUUGCCAGGAAUCAUGAACAUUAGGAAACAAUCCAAAAAAACGGGGUGUCUACUUUAUAUUCUGUGGCCCACACGGUCACACAUGGGCCUGGUUUUAACACCGGGUCAUAGGUGUGGAAACAGCCUGGCCUAGAGGAAGGAACACUGAACCAGUGAGAGAGGCCUUCAGUGACUCCAGGACCAAGCAAGUGUGUGGCCUGGAGGCUGGCCUUUCUAAGAGGCCUGUCUCGGUGGAAACGGAGGAAUGUUCUACUGCUGGCUUUCCAGAGCGCUCCUCUAGCCCCACUACUUGGAGCGAUGCUUCCCGGUGUUGAAGCUGCAGAUCUAAGGACCAUGUUUCUUCAAACACAACCAGGCCUCUAGGGCAAGAUCGUUUCCAGGAGAUGUAAUGAAAUAUGAAGGAAAACGCCCAGCAGGCAACAUGCCUGCCUGCUGAGGAUCACAGGAAACAGCCUUACUACCAAUCUACCAAUACUGGGCCCUGAGCUGGAGAAACAGCUCCUUUUUUCAUUUCAAAAUAUCACUAAUGUUCCAUGGUGCAGGACAUAUUUCAAAUGCCUCAAUUGGAAAAAACAGGCUCCAAAGGCAUCACGGUGUGCCUGUGGCUCUUGUCUGUGCUAGGCAGCAGCACAAGGGCCUGCUCAUUAGCUCACUGAUGACAGGUUUAUCCGCAACUGUAUAUCAAGCAAUGAGAAAGUCAGCUGUGCGAGCAAACGUCCCUCAGUCAUAUUGCACAAAGCCUUCGUAAAGGGAUAGAGUGCUGAAAGCCUCCUAACUCCUCUCUAGCUGAACAUCUUUUCCCCUCCGCUACCUCUGAACCUCUCAUCCUUCCAACUCAGCUCAAGAACGCAGAAGCUGUUUGCCGACCCCUUCUGCUAGUGUCCUGUCCUUGGUAAUUCAAAGACGCCCCCGGGAUGGCCCACAAAGAGCCCUGUGUGCAUGCACACGCGCCACUGUCACUGAUAAGGCCACUGGGUGGUGAGCGGUUCUUUUCACACUUCACAUCCAGAGGCUUUUCCUGUGAUUUGUGUGUGAAGCACCUGUUUGCAUGGUCCGUCCACCCUUAUCUGAGAUUCUGCCUCUUAGGCACCAGGGCAGGUUGAAGCCUUUUUCACCCACUUACAAAGCAACAGCUUAUUCCUGAGAAGUGUGUCAAGCUGGUAUGUCCACUGUGCUCCCCAGACUCACCAAUAAGAUCACUGACUUAAUUGUUUUCUGCCCCUUACUUUUAGAAGAAAGAAGUUAGGCAAUCUAAAGGAGUCAAACUGAUAAUGUUGCUUUUGAAAAAAAGUAAACAAAUAAUAAAACAUCUCCCAGAGUGUAUGGGGUCCAAAACACAUUUAACCCAGUUUCUCACACUUUCCAUAUGAACAUUUACUCAAUAAUCCUACGUGAUGUUUAGAAUGAAUAAUUACUGUGGGGCCCCUCAUCAAACAUCAGAAAGAGACCAAUAGGUUCGAUAUUUUGCCGUAAAGCAGGAAAUUGAACUAAGUAUCAAGAAAUAAAUACCAACAGAGAGAAUAACAAAGGAAGGAAGGAGGGAUUAAUUGUCAUUGUUAGAGAAAAACUCAUUUUCUGAUGAUGAUGGUCAAGACCUUAUCUUAUAAUCCUCCUAACUAUAGCCUCCUUUUCUUUGCAUUGGGUACCCAACAUCCAUUAUGACUGUUGUCUCCAGAAGCCCAGAGACAUUCAUCUUUUUGCUCUCCUUUCACUGAUGAGGAGACUGGACGUCACGUGAUAAUUCAGCUGCCCAGUCUUAUGGCAAGCGAGAGAGACCUAUUUUGAACUGAGGCAUGCUGGACUUCAAAGUCCAUGUUCUUGCUCUUAGAGCAAGUCUCUAAAACAAGAUUUUCACUAAUUCUUAACAAUUUAUUGAGUUCAGCAGUUACUGAGCAUCUAUCAUGUCUUGGCAGUGAUAGGGAAUACAGAUAUAAAAAAGUUACAGCCCUACCUUCACUUGAGCCAAAAAUAUUUUUCUUUAGGGAAUCUUUAGAACAAACACUUUCAGAAAAUUUUUCUAAUUGAGCUUGAGAUGUUGACUUGACUCUCAUUUUUAAAACUAACUAAUUGGCUAUCAAAAUGGCAACACUUACAAGAUAAUGCUUUCUGUAUUUCUUCAUGCAUUUAACUCCCUAACUAAUGAAAAACUUCAUGAUAUUUUCUCCCAAAGGAGGGGAUAGAAGUGUCUUUUCUUCUCACACUGUGAAGACAAGUAAACGUAAUUUAGUUUCAAUACAGUUAUAUUAGCUUUAGAUAAUAAUGAGCUAUUGCCAUAUAUCAGACCACAAAAAAAGAACCAAAACUAAACAUUAAUACAAGGUAUGUUUUUAUUUCUAUUAUACUUUAAGUUCUGGGAUACAUGUGCAGAAUUUGCAGGUUUGUUACAUAAGUAUACACGUGCCAUGGUGGUUUGCUGCACCCAUCAACCCAUCAUCUACAUUAGGUAUUUCUCCUAAUGCUAUUCCUCCCCUAGCCCUCCACCCCCCAACAGGCCCCAGUGUGCGAUGUUCCCCUCCCUGUGUCCAUGUGUUCUCAUUGUUCAAUGUGUAACAGAGUUGGAGUAUGGCUUCUAAAAAUCAUAAUUUCAUAUGCAUAAUGGCAAUUGCUAGACAAGAAUUCUGUAACUAGAGCUAGUUACAUGAGCAAAAACUGCCUCAUAGUUCAGGUUGCAAAGUGGGCAGCCAUUAUAGCCCAGAAGACACUCCCAGAAGAAAUUGGUGAGCUAACUUUGUAUAUUUAUGAACAUUUUUGGUAUUUUCAGUCUUUCCGAAGCACCUGGUGAUGGCCAGUGUGGAAGACUAGGUGGAGCAUGACAAGAUCAUUGUCUGUAAGCACUCACUGUGCUGUUUCUAGAAGACGCUUCUGUAGGUGAAUAAAGGUGGUUAUUGCUGAGUCUUUCUUCACCAAAAAAUAAUGAAACUAAUUUAAUAGGCUGAUUUGGAAAAGAGCCUAGUAAAAUCCGCUGCAGAAUUGGGAUUUGCUUUGAAAAGUGUCUCUGUCCUUACAGGCACACUGAUGGAGUAUUGUUUUGUUCCUCAUGUGGCAUUUUUCAAGCCACUUCAAGUCUGUUUUCAAACUAAAUUGGGAAUUAAAAAAUCAUAUGAUAAGUAAAUUGAAAAAUGUAACUCACUAGUGUCCAUUCUCUAGCAUCCAAAGUAUUUGACCUAUUACAAAUUUAUCAACAGUAAAUAUUUCUUAGACUAAUUUGUAACCUGUUAUAAAUUCACCCAAAGGAAUAGUAAUUUUCAUAAUAAUGGAAUAAAAGAGCUUUCAAUGUCCCUUAUGAAGCUGUGUUCAAUGGAAAUAAAGCAUUGGGUGUAGCGGUGGGUAUGUGAAUGGAUGGAGAACUGGCUGAGCAGCCUAUGGGUUGAUUAGCCAUAGAAACAUUGGGCCUUGAUUGCUGCAAGCCCUCAGCCUGGGCCCAGUUUAAGAGCAGCCUG